CUUCUUAUCCACCCAUCACCGAACGGACAAAAUUACUGUUCUGACCCUUAAGCCAAACUAAAUCCCGAUUUGACCUCGUUCCGAAUUUUUUUUUGUUUCUGACCUUUUUCGGUGACGCCAAGGUCCCUGGCGUCUGGGUUACGAAGCAGACGCCGGGGUCCCUGACGUCUGGCCCCUGGCCCGCACUGCCCGCCUGCCCGUUGACCUGCUGACGUGGCAAAGGGGCCAGACGCCAGGGACCGUGGCGUCUGGCCCCGGUAAGUGGAUAACCCCACCGGGAGAGUGUGUGGGUCCCACCCCACACAUUUUCCCCAAUCCAGCCCGAGCUUGAAGAAGAGCUGCUGCCUCCCCACUCUCUCUCACCCCUCAAGCUCCCCCCUCAAAUCCUCUCCAAAAGGCAUGGCUUCAUCCGGUUCCAGGACGAGGCCACCGUGCGCGGACCAAGAGGACAUGCCGAAGACGUGGUUGGAGGCCAGUUUGGACAAGAAGAAGGAGAAGGAUGUGCCCACACCACCAUGUUGGUGUGGUGAUGUUUGCAAGCUGAAGGUGUCCACUGACCGCAACAAGUCAUGGACAGAAGGUAGAAGGUUUUUCGUGUGUCCCAACUAUGCACAUGAUCGUCGAAGGCCAACUAACGCAUAUGACAUACCACCGUCCCCUCCUCCACUUUGCAAGUACUUCACUUGGAUAGAUCACGAGGUACCAAAAGAUAUCCAAGAGGACCAACGUGCAGAUUGGUUACGGAGGCAGCGCCUAUUCGAGGAGUCCUAUGCACGGGGAUUGGAGCGGGAGCGUCGUGAGAAGGAGGUUAACCUCCAUUAACCUACACACAAAAUGUAUCCACCUAGUCCAACGGUCGCCAAUAACAGACCGUCUAAACUGUAUGUUAAGCGGGAUAGUACCCAACACUGUAGCAACGGAAACCUCUUUCCGUUGCGCAAUGUUGUAAAGGGAAGGAUACUGUAAGGCCAGCGGCGAAUCUCCUAACCAAGUAUCCUCCCAAAAUCGAGUA
This is a long non-coding RNA of Triticum dicoccoides, 1012 nucleotides long. RefSeq lists it as uncharacterized. The transcript is spliced from 3 exons. The record is from RefSeq and is a predicted model, not a curated record. Lineage: Eukaryota; Viridiplantae; Streptophyta; Magnoliopsida; Poales; Poaceae.